Molecule: non-coding RNA, 183 nt
Filed under: Cohnella faecalis
Lineage: Bacteria; Bacillati; Bacillota; Bacilli; Caryophanales; Paenibacillaceae
Description: 6S / SsrS RNA
Rfam family: 6S / SsrS RNA
About the family: E. coli 6S RNA was the first non coding RNA to be sequenced, but its function was unknown until recently. It consists of 184 nucleotides that fold into an extended hairpin structure with a large single-stranded internal bulge. The 6S RNA specifically associates with RNA polymerase holoenzyme containing the sigma70 specificity factor.
Source: Rfam by way of RNAcentral
UAACUCCUGCGAUGUACGUUACGGCGAUUUAAUGUUUUGAACCAAUGAUUUUAUGACGGGAGUCCAACAUUGCUUGGCAGCUGGCAAGCCCUCGAAAGGGGAAGCCAAACGCCUUUGCUGCGGACACCCACCUGCGAGAGCGGGUUCGAAACAUGAGCGUCGGACGGCAUAGGCGGGUUUUUU